GACGGUACUUGAUGAAUAAGCCACGGCUAAUUCCGUGCCAGCAGCCGCGGUAAUACGGGAGUGGCAAGCGUUAUCCGGAAUUAUUGGGCGUAAAGCGUCCGCAGGCGGCCCAACAAGUCUGCUGUUAAAAAGUGGAGCUUAACUCCAUCAUGGCAGUGGAAACUGUUGGGCUCGAGUGUGGUAGGGGCAGAGGGAAUUCCCGGUGUAGCGGUGAAAUGCGUAGAUAUCGGGAAGAACACCAGUGGCGAAGGCGCUCUGCUGGGCCAUCACUGACGCUCAUGGACGAAAGCCAGGGGAGCGAAAGGGAUUAGAUACCCCUGUAGUCCUGGCCGUAAACGAUGAACACUAGGUGUCGGGGGAAUCGACCCCUCCGGUGUCGUAGCCAACGCGUUAAGUGUUCCGCCUGGGGAGUACGCACGCAAGUGUGAAACUCAAAGGAAUUGACGGGGGCCCGCACAAGCGGUGGAGUAUGUGGUUUAAUUCGAUGCAACGCGAAGAACCUUACCAGGGUUUGACAUCCUGCGAAUCUCUUGGAAACUUGAGAGUGCCUUCGGGAGCGCAGUGACAGGUGGUGCAUGGCUGUCGUCAGCUCGUGUCGUGAGAUGUUGGGUUAAGUCCCGCAACGAGCGCAACCCACGUCUUUAGUUGCCAGCAUUUAGUUGGGCACUCUAGAGAGACCGCCGGUGAUAAACCGGAGGAAGGUGUGGAUGACGUCAAGUCAUCAUGCCCCUUACAUCCUGGGCUACACACGUACUACAAUGCUACGGACAAAGGGCAGCAAGUUCGCGAGGACAAGCAAAUCCCAUAAACCGUGGCUCAGUUCAGAUCGUAGGCUGCAACUCGCCUACGUGAAGGAGGAAUCGCUAGUAAUCGCAGGUCAGCAUACUGCGGUGAAUACGUUCCCGGGCCUUGUACACACCGCCCGUCACACCAUGGAAGUUGGCCACGCCCGAAGCCGUUACUCCAACCCUUGUGGAGGAGGACGUCGAAGGUGGGGCUGAUGACUGGGGUG
RNAcentral lists this ribosomal RNA (1012 nucleotides) under uncultured bacterium. RNAcentral's name for it is "bacterial SSU rRNA". It matches the Rfam family "Bacterial small subunit ribosomal RNA", at positions 471 to 1482 of the family's 1533-position model. The record is from RNAcentral.